RNAcentral lists this ribosomal RNA (484 nucleotides) under uncultured bacterium. RNAcentral's name for it is "partial 16S ribosomal RNA". It matches the Rfam family "Bacterial small subunit ribosomal RNA", at positions 30 to 507 of the family's 1533-position model. The record is from RNAcentral.
AUUGAACGCUGGCGGCAGGCCUAACACAUGCAAGUCGAGCGGAUGAAGGGAGCUUGCUCCUGGAUUCAGCGGCGGACGGGUGAGUAAUGCCUAGGAAUCUGCCUGGUAGUGGGGGAUAACGUCCGGAAACGGGCGCUAAUACUGCAUACGUCCUGAGGGAGAAAGUGGGGGAUCUUUGGACCUCACGCUAUCAGAUGAGCCUAGGUCGGAUUAGCUAGCUGGUGGGGUAAAGGCCUACCAAGGCGACGAUCCGGAACUGGUCUGAGAGGCUGAUCAGUCACACUGGAACUGAAACACGGUCCAGACUCCUACGGGAGGCAGCAGUGGGGAAUAUUGGACAAUGGGCGAAAGCCUGAUCCAGCCAUGCCGCGUGUGUGAAGAAGGUCUUCGGAUUGUAAAGCACUUUAAGUUGGGAGGAAGGGCAGUAAGUUAAUACCUUGCUGUUUUGACGUUACCAACAGAAUAAGCACCGGCUAACUUCGUG